Molecule: ribosomal RNA, 1395 nt
Filed under: uncultured bacterium
Lineage: Bacteria
Description: bacterial SSU rRNA
Rfam family: Bacterial small subunit ribosomal RNA
Source: RNAcentral
AGAGUUUGAUCCUGGCUCAGGAUGAACGCUGGCGGCGUGCCUAACACAUGCAAGUCGAACGAAGCUUUUCUGUUUGGAGAUUCGUCGAAGAAGAGAAAAUGACUUAGUGGCGGACGGGUGAGUAACGCGCGAGCAACCUGCCUUUCAGAGGGGGACAACAGCUGGAAACGGCUGCUAAUACCGCAUAAUGUCACGGGACGGCAUCGUUCUGUGACCAAAGGAGCAAUCCGCUGAAAGAUGGGCUCACGUUGGAUUAGUUAGUUGGCGGGGUAAAGGCCCACCAAGACCGCGAUCCAUAGCCGGACUGAGAGGUUGAACGGCCACAUUGGGACUGAGAUACGGCCCAGACUCCUACGGGAGGCAGCAGUGGGGAAUAUUGGGCAAUGGGCGAAAGCCUGACCCAGCAACGCCGCGUGAAGGAAGAAGGUCUUCGGAUUGUAAACUUCUUUUAUGAGGGACGAAGGAAGUGACGGUACCUCAUGAAUAAGCCAUGGCUAACUACGUGCCAGCAGCCGCGGUAAUACGUAGGUGGCGAGCGUUAUCCGGAUUUAUUGGGUUUAAAGGGUGCGUAGGCUGUGAUCCAAGUCAGGGGUGAAAGCCCGGAGCUCAACUCCGGAACUGCCUUUGAUACUGGAUUGCUGGAAUACGGAUGCCGUGGGAGGAAUGAGUAGUGUAGCGGUGAAAUGCAUAGAUAUUACUCAGAACACCGAUUGCGAAGGCAUCUCACGAAUCCGUCAUUGACGCUGAGGCACGAAAGCGUGGGGAUCAAACAGGAUUAGAUACCCUGGUAGUCCACGCAGUAAACGAUGAUAACUAACCGUCGGCGAUAGACAGUCGGUGGCCAAGCGAAAGCGAUAAGUUAUCCACCUGGGGAGUACGUUCGCAAGAAUGAAACUCAAAGGAAUUGACGGGGACCCGCACAAGCGGUGGAGCAUGUGGUUUAAUUCGACGCAACGCGAAGAACCUUACCAGGCCUUGACAUCCUGAUGACCAUUCCGGUAACGCGGAACUCUCUUCGGAGCAUCAGAGACAGGUGGUGCAUGGUUGUCGUCAGCUCGUGUCGUGAGAUGUUGGGUUAAGUCCCGCAACGAGCGCAACCCUUAUCUUUAGUAGCCAGCACGUCAUGGUGGGAACUCUAGAGGGACUGCCCGGGAUAACCGGGAGGAAGGUGGGGAUGACGUCAAAUCAUCAUGCCCCUUAUGACCAGGGCUACACACGUGCUACAAUGGUGGGUACAGAGGGCGGCUACCUGGCGACAGGAUGCAAAUCUCGAAAACCCAUCCCAGUUCGGAUCGGAGUCUGCAACUCGACUCCGUGAAGUUGGAUUCGCUAGUAAUCGCGCAUCAGCCAUGGCGCGGUGAAUACGUUCCCGGGCCUUGUACACACCGCCCGUCA